AAAGGAAUUGACGGGGGCCCGCACAAGCAGCGGAGCAUGUGGUUUAAUUCGAAGCAACGCGAAGAACCUUACCAGGGCUUGACAUCCCCCUGACUGGUGCAGAGAUGCAUCUUUUCUUCGGAACAGGGGAGACAGGUGGUGCAUGGUUGUCGUCAGCUCGUGUCGUGAGAUGUUGGGUUAAGUCCCGCAACGAGCGCAACCCUUAUCUUUAGUUGCCAACACGUGAUGGUGGGGACUCUAGAGAGACUGCCGGGGACAACUCGGAGGAAGGUGGGGACGACGUCAAAUCAUCAUGCCCCUUAUGUCCUGGGCUACACACGUGCUACAAUGGCCUGUAACAAAGGGAAGCGAAGGCGCAAGUCGGAGCGAACCCCAGAAACCAGGUCCCAGUUCGGAUUGUGGGCUGCAACCCGCCCACAUGAAGUCGGAGUUGCUAGUAAUCGCGAAUCAGCAUGUCGCGGUGAAUGCGUUCCCGGGCCUUGUACACACCGCCCGU
This 496-nucleotide ribosomal RNA is filed under the name uncultured bacterium. RNAcentral's name for it is "bacterial SSU rRNA". It matches the Rfam family "Bacterial small subunit ribosomal RNA", at positions 903 to 1397 of the family's 1533-position model. The record is from RNAcentral.